RNAcentral lists this ribosomal RNA (1827 nucleotides) under Cerastoderma edule. RNAcentral's name for it is "SSU rRNA". It matches the Rfam family "Eukaryotic small subunit ribosomal RNA". Lineage: Eukaryota; Metazoa; Mollusca; Bivalvia; Cardiida; Cardiidae. The record is from RNAcentral.
AAUUAUAUGCUUGUCUUAAAGAUUAAGCCAUGCAAGUCUAAGUACGGCCCUUCAUUUAUGGGGGCGAGACUGCGGACGGCUCAUUAAAUCAGUUAUGAUUCCCAAGAGCCGGCGAAACCUACUUGGAUAACUGUGGCAAUUCUAGAGCUAAUACAUGAAACUGAAGCUUCGCCUGCGCGUCGUUCGCGCGGCGUGCGGGAGGAGCGCACUUGUUAGCCUCAAACCAAUCCGUCGUUGCCCGCAAGGGGAGCGGCGGUCUCACUGGUGAACUCUGGACAACUUUGCCGAUCGCAGGGCCUUCGUGCCGGCGACACAUCUUUCAAGUGUCUGACCUAUCAACUAGAUGGUUUGCGCUCUGCGCACCAUGGUGACAACGGGUGACGGGGAAUCAGGGUUCGAUUCCGGAGAGGGAGCAUGAGAAACGGCUGCCACAUCCAAGGAAGGCAGCAGGCACGCAACUUACCCAAUGCCGAGACGGCGAGGUAGUGACGAAAAAUAACAAUACGGGACUCUCUUUACGAGGUCCCGCAAUUGAAAUGAGUACACUCUAAAUCCUUUAACGAGGAUCUAUUGGAGGGCAAGUCUGGUGCCAGCAGCCGCGGUAAUUCCAGCUCCAAUAGCGUAUGUCAAAGUUGUUGCGGUUAAAAAGCUCGUAGUUGGAUCUCGGUGUCGGGCUGGUGGUGCGCCCGUAGUGGCGAUCUACUGCCAGUUCCCCGGCGAAAAGAGGCCGGCAGUUUUUCCCUUGGUGCUCUUGACUGAGUGUCUCGGGUGGCCGGAACGUUUACUGUGAAAAAAUUAGAGUGCUCAAAGCAGGCCUUCGUGCCCGAAUAUUGGUGCAUGGAAUAAUGGAGGACGACCUCGGCUCCACUUUGUUGGUUUACGGUGCUCGAGGUAAUGAUUAAGAGAGACUGCCGGGGGCAUACGUACUGCGGCGCGAGAGGUGAAAUUCUGUGACCGUCGCAGGACGAACGAAAGCGAAGGCAUUUGCCAAGAAUGUUUUCAUUAAUCAAGAACGAAAGUCAGAGGUUCGAAGACGAUCAGAUACCGUCGUAGUUCUGACCGCAAACUAUGCCAACUGACCCUCCGCCGGAGUUGCUUUAUUGACUCGGCGAGGAGCCCCCGGGAAACCAAAGUCUUUGGGUUCCGGGGGGAGUACGGUUGCAAAGCUGAAACUUAAAGGAAUUGACGGAAGGGCACCACCAGGAGUGGAGCCUGUGGCUUAAUUUGACUCAACACGGGAAACCUCACCCGGUCCGGACACUGGAAGGAUUGACAGAUUAACGCUCUUUCUUGAUUCAGUGGGUGGUGGUGCAUGGCCGUUCUUAGUUGGUGGAGCGAUUUGUCUGGUUAAUUCCGAUAACGAACGAGACUCUUGCCUGCUAAAUAGUUCGGGGAUGAUCAAUACCGUCCCCGCCGUCAACUUCUUAGAGGUACAAGUGGCGUUUAGCCACACGAAACGGAGCAAUAACAGGUCUGUGAUGCCCUUAGAUGUCCGGGGCCGCACAUGUGCUACAAUGAAUGUAUCAACGGGUAUCAGCCUCGCCCGGAAGGGUAGGGGAAUCCUCUGAACCGCAUUCUCAGUAGGGAUUGGGGAUUGCAAUUAUUUCCCAUCAACACGGAAUUCCCAGUAGGCGUCAGUCAUCAGCUGGCGUCGAUUGAGUCCCUGCCCUUUGUACACACCGCCCGUCGCUACUACCGAUCGCCCUUGAGAAUGAGCCUGUCGGAUUGGACCCGGUGAGCGGGCGCUUGUCGCCUGCGAGCUCUGGUGCCGCCGAGAAGAUCGGCAAAUUCCCUGGGGUAGAGGAAGUAAAAGUCGUAACAAGGUAU